CUCCGAUGACUCGGCGGGCAGCUUCCGGGAAACCAAAGCUUUUGGGUUCCGGGGGAAGUAUGGUUGCAAAGCUGAAACUUAAAAGAAUUGAUGAAAGGGCACCACUAGGAGUGGAGCCUGCGGCUUAAUUUGACUCAACACGGGAAACCUCACCAGGCCCGGACACCGGAAGGAUUGACAGAUUGAGAACUCUUUCUUGAUUCGGUGGGUGGUAGUGCAUGGCCGUUCUUAGUCGGUGGAGCGAUUUGUCUGGUUAAUUCUGAUAACAAACGAGAAUCUAGCCUGCUAAAUGGGUGUACUUUCCGGUACCUCGAAGGCCCGCCGGCUCGGCUUCGGUCGCUGUUGCGGGUGGUUUUUACUACCGGCGUACACAUAUAUCUUCUUAGAGGGACAAGUGGCAUUUAGUCGCUCGAAAUUGAGCAAUAACAGGUCUGUGAUGCCCUUAGAUGUUCUGGGCCGCACGCACGCUACACUGAAGGGAUCAGCACGUUUUCCUUGGCCGAAAGGUCCGGGUAAUCCGUUGAAGCCCCUUCGUCCUAGGGAUUGGGGCUUGCAAUUGGGUCUUCCCCAUGAACGAGGAAUUCCCAGUAAGCGCGAGUCAUAAGCUUGCGUUGAUCACGUCCCUGCUUUUUGUAUACACCGCCCGUCGUUACUACCGAUUGAAUUAUUUAGUGAGGUCUUCGGACCGGUGCGCGGCGGCGUCGUAUGACAUUACCGAUGAUGCUGGGAAGAUGACCAAACUUGAUUAUUUAGAGCAAGUAAAAGUCAUAAUAAGGUUUUCGUAGAUAAACCUGCGGAAGGAUCAUUAACGUA
RNAcentral lists this ribosomal RNA (813 nucleotides) under Providencia heimbachae. RNAcentral's name for it is "bacterial SSU rRNA". It matches the Rfam family "Eukaryotic small subunit ribosomal RNA", at positions 1066 to 1831 of the family's 1831-position model. The record is from RNAcentral. Lineage: Bacteria; Pseudomonadati; Pseudomonadota; Gammaproteobacteria; Enterobacterales; Morganellaceae.